GUGCUUCACUUCAGCAGCAACAUAUACUAAAAUCGGAAUGAUACAGAAAAGAUUAGCAUGGUCCCCUUGCACAAGGAGAACAUGCAGCAUUCCAUAUUUUUUCAACUUUCU
This 111-nucleotide small nuclear RNA is filed under the name Canis lupus familiaris (dog). The record is from RNAcentral. Lineage: Eukaryota; Metazoa; Chordata; Mammalia; Carnivora; Canidae.